AUCUCCACAAAAAGCCCUUAUAAACUCUCUAUCUAUUCCUACUCCUGCCUUCCUCCCAAAUCCUUUAACCACAGAUGAUGUUCAUCCAUGAAACUCAUCAGAAAUUUCCAGAUCUGUAUAGUUGCUGAUCAUGGAUCAUUCCAUUUUCAGAUCUUUACAUGAAUGGUGUAGAUUGAUUCAAUUAAAGAUUGAUCUUCGCUUCUCCUCGAAGAAGAAAGUGAAAAUUGAGAGCAAUUGGGAAGAUGUUAGCAGAUUAUAUCUAUGAAGUCUCCUUUCAAGAGUUCUCUUUUACUUUCGAUCAAACCUCCUAUCCAGGGGCGGAACUACAGUGUUAUAUGGGGAAAGAGUUUGGACGAAUUCAAUUACUUUUGUGUAACUUCUAUAUUUGUAUUAGAAAAUCGAAUAACUAUACAGAAUAUUUUACAUAAUUGGAUGAUUCAUUGGUAAGUAAGAGGCUACCACAUUAAUCAAUAUUUUCUCCUUUUCAGCAA
Long non-coding RNA from Solanum pennellii, 491 nucleotides. RefSeq lists it as uncharacterized. The transcript has 2 exons. Lineage: Eukaryota; Viridiplantae; Streptophyta; Magnoliopsida; Solanales; Solanaceae. The record is from RefSeq and is a predicted model, not a curated record.